GUGCUUGUUUGGGCAGCACAUAUACUAAAAUUGGAACCAUAUGGACCCUGUGCAAGGAUGACAUACAAAUUCAUGAAGGAAUAUCACUUUAG
Small nuclear RNA from Sarcophilus harrisii (Tasmanian devil), 92 nucleotides. Lineage: Eukaryota; Metazoa; Chordata; Mammalia; Dasyuromorphia; Dasyuridae. The record is from Ensembl.